UACGUAGGUCCCGAGCGUUGUCCGGAUUUACUGGGUGUAAAGGGCGUGCAGCCGGAGAGACAAGUCAGAUGUGAAAUCCACGGGCUCAACCCGUGAACUGCAUUUGAAACUGUUUCCCUUGAGUGUCGGAGAGGUAAUCGGAAUUCCUUGUGUAGCGGUGAAAUGCGUAGAUAUAAGGAAGAACACCAGUGGCGAAGGCGGAUUACUGGACGAUAACUGACGGUGAGGCGCGAAAGCGUGGGGAGCAAACAGG
Molecule: ribosomal RNA, 253 nt
Filed under: uncultured bacterium
Lineage: Bacteria
Description: partial 16S ribosomal RNA
Rfam family: Bacterial small subunit ribosomal RNA
Source: RNAcentral